AGAGUUUGAUCCUGGCUCAGAACUAACGCUAGUGGCGUGUCUUAGUCAUGCGAGUCGAACGCGAAAGUCCUUUCGGGGAUGAGUAGAGUGGCAAACGGGUGAGUAACACGUGGGUAACCUGCCUCCGAGUUGGGGAUAACAUUUCUAACGAGAUGCUAAUACCGAAUGAAGAGACGGGGUUUCGGCCUUCGUCUUUAAAGGUGGCCUCUGCUUGCAUGCUGCCGCUUGGAGAUGGGCCCGCGUCCUAUUAGCUAGUUGGUGGGGUAAUGGUCUACCAAGGCGAUGAUGGGUAGCCGGCCUGAGAGGGUGAACGGCCACACUGGAACUGAGACAAGGUCCGGUCCCCUACGGGGGCCAGCAGUCUAGAAAUUUGCACAAUCAACGAAAGUUGGAUGCAGCGACGCCACGUGGAGGAUGAAGCCUUUCGGGGUGUAAACUCCUGUCA
This 445-nucleotide ribosomal RNA is filed under the name uncultured bacterium. Its description in RNAcentral is "bacterial SSU rRNA". It matches the Rfam family "Bacterial small subunit ribosomal RNA", at positions 8 to 438 of the family's 1533-position model. The record is from RNAcentral.